Molecule: ribosomal RNA, 468 nt
Filed under: uncultured bacterium
Lineage: Bacteria
Description: partial 16S ribosomal RNA
Rfam family: Bacterial small subunit ribosomal RNA
Source: RNAcentral
GACGAACGCUGGCGGCGUGCUUAACACAUGCAAGUCGAACGGAAAGGCCCUGCUUUUGUGGGGUGCUCGAGUGGCGAACGGGUGAGUAACACGUGAGUAACCUGCCCUUGACUUUGGGAUAACUUCAGGAAACUGGGGCUAAUACCGGAUAGGAGCUCCUGCUGCAUGGUGGGGGUUGGAAAGUUUCGGCGGUUGGGGAUGGACUGGCGGCUUAUCAGCUUGUUGGUGGGGUAGUGGCUUACCAAGGUUUUGACGGGUAGCCGACCUGAGAGGGUGACCGGCGACAAUAGGACUGAGGUACGGAGCAGACGCGUACGGGAGGCAGCAGUGGAAAGUAUUGCACAGUGGGGCGGAGCCUGAUGCGGCAACGCCGCGUGCGGAAUGACGGCCUUCGGGUUGUAAACCGCUUUCGCCUGUGACGAAGCGGGAGUGACGGUAAUGGAUAAAGAAGCACCGGCUAACUACGUG